RNAcentral lists this long non-coding RNA (395 nucleotides) under Phoenix dactylifera (date palm). Its description in RNAcentral is "long non-coding RNA (PDAC_LNC012545)". The record is from RNAcentral. Lineage: Eukaryota; Viridiplantae; Streptophyta; Magnoliopsida; Arecales; Arecaceae.
AAUCCUAGUCGAGGAAGACCUGAUAUCCUACCAUGCCGAGGUGGCCAAAAAGACUCAAGAUAGUGGUUCAAAUCUCCGUUGUUACAGUUAUGGAAAGAUAGCUCAUACAUGAAAUAAGUGCAUAAAAGGUCAAUUUUUCCUCCAAAAUAAUAGCUAUUAGUUGAAGGUAAUGAAGGAUCUGAUGUACAUGAGGACGAUAUGGGCCCAACCUAUGAUGAAGUUGACAAUGUAGGAGAUGAAGGGGAUUGAAGAGAGAUAUUGAUAAGUCGCUUGUUAUCAGAAAUAGUCUUAUGGCUAAGUUUGCAAGGUCGUAAUGAAUAGGGAAAGCUAGGAGAAUGUCACAUCUCAAGAGGCUAUUACAAAGUAACUCUACCUAUAGAGAAGCAUCCCUGGCC